AGGACGAACGCUGGCGGCGUGCUUAACACAUGCAAGUCGAGCGGAAAGGCCCUUCGGGGUACUCGAGCGGCGAACGGGUGAGUAACACGUGAGCAACCUGCCCUUGCUUCGGGAUAGCUCCGGGAAACCGGAAUUAAUACCGAAUAUGAUUUUUGCUGACAUCAGCAGAAGUGGAAAGUUUUUCGGCUAGGGAUGGACUCGCGGCCUAUCAGCUAGUUGGUGAGGUAACGGCCCACCAAGGCGACGACGGGUA
RNAcentral lists this ribosomal RNA (253 nucleotides) under uncultured bacterium. Its description in RNAcentral is "partial small subunit ribosomal RNA". It matches the Rfam family "Bacterial small subunit ribosomal RNA", at positions 26 to 285 of the family's 1533-position model. The record is from RNAcentral.